This 253-nucleotide ribosomal RNA is filed under the name uncultured bacterium. RNAcentral's name for it is "partial 16S ribosomal RNA". It matches the Rfam family "Bacterial small subunit ribosomal RNA", at positions 524 to 776 of the family's 1533-position model. The record is from RNAcentral.
UACGGAGGGGGCUAGCGUUGUUCGGAAUUACUGGGCGUAAAGCGCACGUAGGCGGCUUUGUAAGUUAGAGGUGAAAGCCCGGAGCUCAACUCCGGAAUUGCCUUUAAGACCGCAUCGCUUGAAUCAUGGAGAGGUGAGUGGAAUUCCGAGUGUAGAGGUGAAAUUCGUAGAUAUUCGGAAGAACACCAGUGGCGAAGGCGACUCACUGGACAUGUAUUGACGCUGAGGUGCGAAAGCGUGGGGAGCAAACAGG